AGUGAACGCUGGCGGUAGGUCUAACACAUGCAAGUCGAACGGCAGCACAGUAAGAGCUUGCUCUUACGGGUGGCGAGUGGCGGACGGGUGAGGAAUACAUCGGAAUCUACCUUUUCGUGGGGGAUAACGUAGGGAAACUUACGCUAAUACCGCAUACGACCUACGGGUGAAAGCAGGGGAUCUUCGGACCUUGCGCGAUUGAAUGAGCCGAUGUCGGAUUAGCUAGUUGGCGGGGUAAAGGCCCACCAAGGCGACGAUCCGUAGCUGGUCUGAGAGGAUGAUCAGCCACACUGGAACUGAGACACGGUCCAGACUCCUACGGGAGGCAGCAGUGGGGAAUAUUGGACAAUGGGCGCAAGCCUGAUCCAGCCAUACCGCGUGGGUGAAGAAGGCCUUCGGGUUGUAAAGCCCUUUUGUUGGGAAAGAAAAGCAGCAGGUUAAUACCCCGCUGUUCUGACGGUACCCAAAGAAUAAGCACCGGCUAACUUCGUG
This 492-nucleotide ribosomal RNA is filed under the name uncultured bacterium. RNAcentral's name for it is "partial 16S ribosomal RNA". It matches the Rfam family "Bacterial small subunit ribosomal RNA", at positions 29 to 507 of the family's 1533-position model. The record is from RNAcentral.